RNAcentral lists this ribosomal RNA (460 nucleotides) under uncultured bacterium. RNAcentral's name for it is "partial 16S ribosomal RNA". It matches the Rfam family "Bacterial small subunit ribosomal RNA", at positions 338 to 795 of the family's 1533-position model. The record is from RNAcentral.
CCUACGGGUGGCAGCAGUGAGGAAUAUUUGUCAAUGGACGAGAGUCUGAACCAGCCAAGUAGCGUGCAGGAUGACUGCCCUAUGGGUUGUACACUUCUUUUAUAUGGGAAUCAACUGUUCCACGUGUGUGCUUUUGUAUGUACCCUAUGAAUAAUGAUCGGCUAACUCCGUUCCAGCAGCCGCGGUAAUACGGAGGGUGCGAGCGUUAAUCGGAAUUACUGGGCGUAAAGCGCUCGUAGGCGGUAUGUCAAGUCAAGGGUGAAAUCCCCGCGCUCAACGUUGGAACUGCCUUUGAAACUGGCAAACUGGAGUGUGGGAGAGGAGAGUGGAAUUCCAGGUGUAGGAGUGAAAUCCGUAGAUAUCUGGAGGAACAUCAGUGGCGAAGGCGACUAGCUGGCACAUAACUGACGUUGAGGAGCGAAAGCGUGGGUAGCAAACAGGAUUAGAUACCCCUGUAGUC